Long non-coding RNA from Panicum virgatum (switchgrass), 1822 nucleotides. RefSeq lists it as uncharacterized. The record is from RefSeq and is a predicted model, not a curated record. NCBI's taxonomy places the organism in Eukaryota, Viridiplantae, Streptophyta, Magnoliopsida, Poales, Poaceae. The transcript has 4 exons.
AGGAGGGGCUCGAUGCAGCGCCUUCUGCGUGGAGCGGUUAGGCCGGCUAAGGGGACCGGUCAGACCGGUCGCCCUUGAACACCAGCGACGACCGACGAACGCUGACCCGGGAGGGACCCCGUCAGGGCAAGCACACGCAGGGUUGUUUUAGGAUCGGCAGACCACCUAGAAUGCCUUCAAAUGUCGCGGAGACGAAGGAAGAACAACAGAUAGAGGUUGAAAAGCUAGAGUUUAGAGGAAAAGAUAAAGACGAUAAAAAGUAGAAGUUGUCAAUAUUUUUAAGAUGACAGGCCUACUCAGCGAGCUGACAGCACCAACAUGACCAAUGGAGGUGAUGCUAUUCCACGCCAUGAUGGAUGCACCAAUAUGGCAAUGAAGGUGAUGUUUUUUUACUAUUUGUCUGUUAGAUUUGAUCCACAAAUUGAAUGCAUUCGUACUGCCUGCCAUUUUUAGAUGGAUCUACCCAGAAUGAUGACAACACCAUUGUUGGUGAUGGAGCUAAUUGCAUUACCCAUCUAGAUAGACACAACUAGAUGGCCACCGAAGGUGAGAGUUUGUUCAUUUAUUUGCCAUAUAGCAUAUUUCCUUGUUAGUUUGUUUGCUAAUUGCUACUGGUUUGUUUGAUUGAAUGACCAUCUUGGAUCAACUUCAACUUACUAAUUGCAACUUCUAUGUGCAUUUACAUCACGGAGAAGAGGCAUGGGACCGAGGAGUUAAUAUGGGACAUGGUCUCCAGAGGUUGACCUGAGCUCAUGGUGCCAAACUGCCAGUUGUCAUAACUGAAUGGAAUAUAAGGCCCGUGGAACCUAAGAUUGCUGCAAUGUAUGCAACUGAAUGCAACAUUAUAGUCAAGAAUCAUAUUCUUGUGUUCAAGCACGGGAAGGAAUACAAGAAGCAUCCUGCGCUGAUUGAACUGUGUUUGGAAAGACUUCGUGAGGCAAGUAAAAAGAACAGAGAGGACCAAGCUGAUAUAAAGUUUCACCAAACCACUGGCUCCGCUAGCUACCCAGUUUAUGUAGAAAAAAAUUGGGUGAUGAGUACAAGGAUAAAGAACUGAUGCCUUUGAUUUGUUCAAGAUGUGCCACUACAACAACAAAAAGAAAGGAUACACGCCUCCUGUACAGUCUGCUAUUACUGAAAUGGAAAACCAGCUGGCUGCACCAACAGAAGAUGGACAACCCAAGUCUGCAACCCAAGUUGUACAUGUUGUGCUUCAUCAGAACACAAAAACCAAUCACUUCCUUAUGAAUGUGGGCAUCCAGAUUGCAAAGCGUAGGACUACACUACAAUAUGUUCAAGCAGAAUUGGAGGUGGAGAAAAGAACAAAUUCUGAGCUUCGAUUGAUAGUCAACAACCAGCAUGAAGAAAUGGAUGGUUUGUCAAAGCAAGUCCAGGAAACAGAACAAACAAGAAUCAAAGACCAAGAGGAGAAUCAGAAGAAGCUAGCUGAGUUGUUCUGCCACGCCAAAAUGGACAAAGCUGAGCAUAUGGUGGUCUAGUAGCUUUUGGGUGAACUUCAUCUUUUGCAGGAACCAAACUUUGCUGCUGCAGCUUCAUAUUUUGUUGGAUUGUUACCUUUCGGUCCAACUUCAACCAAACUUUGCUGCUGCUGGUUCAUAUUCUUGAUGAAACCUAUCUUUUGUUGUUUCUGGUCAAUUGUGUUGUCUUGGAAUGUUACUAGUUCUGACUGAUAGAUGGGAAAACUGUAUGUCAUGCAAACCUUAUUCAUGUGAAUUUGGGCUGGAAUCGUUAUUGUGAAUUCUGGAUUGGAAAUCUUGUUAAUUGAUAAUUAAUCUUGGGCUGAAAUCUUAUUAGCUAAUAA